CCUGAUGAUCAUAGCGUGUUGGAACCACACCUUCCCAUUUCGAACAGGACCGUGAAACGACUCUACGCCGAUGAUAGUGCGGAUUCCCCGUGUGAAAGUAGGUAAUCGUCAGGU
This 114-nucleotide ribosomal RNA is filed under the name Burkholderia sp. The record is from RNAcentral. Lineage: Bacteria; Pseudomonadati; Pseudomonadota; Betaproteobacteria; Burkholderiales; Burkholderiaceae.